GCAGUAGUGGUUCAGUGGUAGAAUGCUCACCUUCCUUGUGGGAGGCCCCGAUUCAAUUCCUGGCCAAUGUA
Molecule: transfer RNA, 71 nt
Filed under: Loxodonta africana (African savanna elephant)
Lineage: Eukaryota; Metazoa; Chordata; Mammalia; Proboscidea; Elephantidae
Rfam family: tRNA
About the family: Transfer RNA (tRNA) molecules are approximately 80 nucleotides in length.
Source: Rfam by way of RNAcentral